Molecule: ribosomal RNA, 432 nt
Filed under: uncultured bacterium
Lineage: Bacteria
Description: partial 16S ribosomal RNA
Rfam family: Bacterial small subunit ribosomal RNA
Source: RNAcentral
ACGCACGCUGGCGGCAUGCCUCACCCAUGCAAGUCGCACGAGACCUUCGGGUCUAGUGGCGCACGGGUGCGUAACGCGUGGGAACCUGCCCUUAGGUUCGGAAUAACUCCCCGAAAGGGGUGCUAAUACCGGAUAAUGUCUUCGGACCAAAGAUUUAUCGCCUUUGGAUGGGCCCGCGUUGGAUUAGCUAGUUGGUAGGGUAAAAGCCUACCAAGGCGACGAUCCAUAGCUGGUCUGAGAGGAUGAUCAGCCACACUGGGACUGAGACACGGCCCAGACUCCUACGGGAGGCAGCAGUGGGGAAUAUUGGACAAUGGGCGAAAGCCUGAUCCAGCAAUGCCGCGUGAGUGAUGAAGGCCUUAGGGUUGUAAAGCUCUUUUACCCGGGAUGAUAAUGACAGUACCGGGAGAAUAAGCUCCGGCUAACUCCGUG